UGCAAGUCGAACGAACUCUGGUAUUGAUUGGUGCUUGCAUCAUGAUUUACAUUUGAGUGAGUGGCGAACUGGUGAGUAACACGUGGGAAACCUGCCCAGAAGCGGGGGAUAACACCUGGAAACAGAUGCUAAUACCGCAUAACAACUUGGACCGCAUGGUCCGAGCUUGAAAGAUGGCUUCGGCUAUCACUUUUGGAUGGUCCCGCGGCGUAUUAGCUAGAUGGUGGGGUAACGGCUCACCAUGGCAAUGAUACGUAGCCGACCUGAGAGGGUAAUCGGCCACAUUGGGACUGAGACACGGCCCAAACUCCUACGGGAGGCAGCAGUAGGGAAUCUUCCACAAUGGACGAAAGUCUGAUGGAGCAACGCCGCGUGAGUGAAGAAGGGUUUCGGCUCGUAAAACUCUGUUGUUAAAGAAGAACAUAUCUGAGAGUAACUGUUCAGGUAUUGACGGUAUUUAACCAGAAAGCCACGGCUAACUACGUGCCAGCAGCCGCGGUAAUACGUAGGUGGCAAGCGUUGUCCGGAUUUAUUGGGCGUAAAGCGAGCGCAGGCGGUUUUUUAAGUCUGAUGUGAAAGCCUUCGGCUCAACCGAAGAAGUGCAUCGGAAACUGGGAAACUUGAGUGCAGAAGAGGACAGUGGAACUCCAUGUGUAGCGGUGAAAUGCGUAGAUAUAUGGAAGAACACCAGUGGCGAAAGCGGCUGUCUGGUCUGUAACUGA
Molecule: ribosomal RNA, 722 nt
Filed under: Lactiplantibacillus plantarum
Lineage: Bacteria; Bacillati; Bacillota; Bacilli; Lactobacillales; Lactobacillaceae
Description: bacterial SSU rRNA
Rfam family: Bacterial small subunit ribosomal RNA
Source: RNAcentral